Molecule: unclassified non-coding RNA, 225 nt
Filed under: plant metagenome
Description: partial contains small subunit ribosomal RNA, internal transcribed spacer 1, and 5.8S ribosomal RNA
Source: RNAcentral
UCUCCGUUGGUGAACCAGCGGAGGGAUCAUUACAGGACUCGCAAGACUCCUACAACCCUGUGAACUUAACUAUAAGCACGUUGCUUCGGCGGGUGACUCGGAGGGGGUUCUCCCUCCCCGAGACGCUAAACCCGCCGGCAGCCUACUAUACUCUGUCUCUUUGCGUUGGCAUCUCGAGUACAAUCAAACAAGUUAAAACUUUCAACAACGGAUCUCUUGGUUCUG